Molecule: ribosomal RNA, 774 nt
Filed under: uncultured Neocallimastigales
Lineage: Eukaryota; Fungi; Neocallimastigomycota; Neocallimastigomycetes; Neocallimastigales
Description: partial large subunit ribosomal RNA
Rfam family: Eukaryotic large subunit ribosomal RNA
Source: RNAcentral
UAUGUGAUCGUCUCUCGCAUUCAAUAAGCGGAGGAAAAGAAACUAACAAGGAUUCCCUUAGUAACGGCGAGUGAAGCGGGAAGAGCUCAAAUUUGAAAUCUUAAAGGGUUUCCCUUUACGAAUUGUAGUUUAAAGAAGUGUUUUCUGUUGAGGUUUUGGUAAAAGUUCUUUGGAAUAGGACAUCAUAGAGGGUGAGAAUCCCGUAUUCGACCUUUACUUUCAACUUUGUGAUACACUUUCAAAGAGUCGGAUUGUUUGGGAAUGCAGUCCAAAAUGGGUGGUAAACUUCAUCUAAAGCUAAAUAUUGGCGAGAGACCGAUAGCGAACAAGUACCGUGAGGGAAAGAUGAAAAGAACUUUGAAAAGAGAGUUAAACAGUACGUGAAAUUGUCAAAAGGGAAGCGUUUGACACCAGUGUUGUUUUUCUGAAAAUCAAUUAAAGAACUGUUUAUGCUAAGCUGUUUAGACUUUAUCAGCUAUCUGUUUAGUUUUGAGCUUUUCUUUAAUGCACUUUUCAGUUAACAAGUCAACAUCCAAUUUCUUUUGCUGUAAAAAAGCUUGAGGAAGGUGGCUUGAGAUUCGUCUUAAGUGUUUAUAGCCUCUUGCCUAUGCAGUCGGAGAGAUUGAGGUCUGCAGCGUAGAUCCUUCGGGGCUAAAUGCAUUUGUGCUAAGUUAUAGCAUUUUAUAGACAACUUGUUGACUAUGAUUUGUCUUGUAGCUUACUCGCUUAUGUUAUUUUACCUACGCUUAGGAUGUUGAGCGCAUGUCUCUCUCU